RNAcentral lists this ribosomal RNA (429 nucleotides) under bacterium. RNAcentral describes it as "partial 16S ribosomal RNA". It matches the Rfam family "Bacterial small subunit ribosomal RNA", at positions 355 to 776 of the family's 1533-position model. The record is from RNAcentral.
UAGGGAAUCUUCCACAAUGGACGCAAGUCUGAUGGAGCAACGCCGCGUGAGUGAAGAAGGUUUUCGGAUCGUAAAGCUCUGUUGUUGGUGAAGAAGGAUAGAGGUAGUAACUGGCCUUUAUUUGACGGUAAUCAACCAGAAAGUCACGGCUAACUACGUGCCAGCAGCCGCGGUAAUACGUAGGUGGCAAGCGUUGUCCGGAUUUAUUGGGCGUAAAGCGAGCGCAGGCGGAAGAAUAAGUCUGAUGUGAAAGCCCUCGGCUUAACCGGGGAACUGCAUCGGAAACUGUUUUUCUUGAGUGCAGAAGAGGAGAGUGGAAUUCCAUGUGUAGCGGUGGAAUGCGUAGAUAUAUGGAAGAACACCAGUGGCGAAGGCGAGUCUCUGGUCUGCAACUGACGCUGAGGCUCGAAAGCAUGGGUAGCGAACAGG